UACUGAGAGAAGAAACCUCGAGGGAGCAU
Molecule: non-coding RNA, 29 nt
Filed under: Mus musculus (house mouse)
Lineage: Eukaryota; Metazoa; Chordata; Mammalia; Rodentia; Muridae
Source: RNAcentral